GAUCUCUAAGAAUGUCACGACGCUUGCACGAUGCUCCAACAAUAUUAACCAAGCUAUUGCAAGAUGUGAAGAAAGUGGCAAUAUCAGCAUUUCCCUUUGCCACGGCCACAAGAGCUAAUUGAAGUUGAUGUGCAAAACAAUGAAUAUAAUAGGCACAAGGAUUUUCUCUUAAAAUCUGUGUUUUAAGACCAUUGAACUCACCCUUCAUAUUACUAGCUCCAUCAUAUCCUUGUCCUCUUAGCAUAGAAAUGCUCAAUUCCUCUUUUGCAAACAAAGUGUCAAUAGCCUCCUUUAGUGAAUUUGAUGUAGUGUCGCUAACAUGUUGAAUGCCCACAAAUCUUUCAAUUACAUCCCCACUUUUGUCCACAUAACGAAACACCACUGCCAUCUAUUCUUUAACUGACACAUCAUGCGAUUCAUCAACUAAUAAAGAAAAGAAUGCACCAUCCAUAUUCUUAAUGAUUUUCUUAAUAGUUUCAGUGGCACAAGCAUUCACCAAAUCUUUUUGAAUUGUUGGAGCUAUUAGCUUGAGAUUCCCUGGAGCAUUUUCUAACACAACGGCCUUAACUUUCUCAUCAUGAUCAGCAAGAAAUUGUAAGAGCUCCAAAUAAUUCCCCAUGUUGUUUGAAGUGUCACUCUCAUCAUGGCCACGAAAAGGAAGACCUUGCUUCAACAAAAAUCUCAUGCAAUCAAGAGAAGCUGUCAAGCAAAUACGAUAAUCAAUACGAGCUUGGUCUGAUUGCUUGCCCAAAACUGUUUGGAUUUGUUGC
This 770-nucleotide long non-coding RNA is filed under the name Prunus dulcis (almond). RNAcentral's name for it is "sRNA ncRNA". Lineage: Eukaryota; Viridiplantae; Streptophyta; Magnoliopsida; Rosales; Rosaceae. The record is from RNAcentral.